GUGUUGGUGUUUCGGUGGUGCUGAGAUUCUAAGGAAGUUGAGAUUAUGUGGUUAGUGGGGGGUUGAUAUUUGGUAUUUAUCUUAUUUUAUUUUAUUUUCUCUCCCCAAAAAUCCCUUAUUUCUUCCCGACGUUCUUUUUCUUCCAAACCAAAAAAAUCCCCAAUUUUGUUUUUUUUAUUUUCUUUACUCUUUGAUGGAAAGUUAAACUCAUUUCUUACGUUCUUUGUCUCUGCCUCUAAUCCUUGCUUUUGUGCGUUUCGAACCCUUAGUUUCAGUGUAAUUGGUAAGUGGGCUUGCGUUUGCAUUCUUAUGUCACUUGAUUUCUGAAGGUUGAAUCUUUGUUGUAUCUUUUGCGUAGGAAGAAUGGGUAGCAGUAGUUUUUUUUCAAUGGUGUAAUCUGCGCGAGUGAACGGGUGUGUUGGCGGUAAGUGAGUAAGCAUUAUUCGAUUUAGUUUUGAGCGGUUUGUGAAUUGUUGGCUAAAUUCAUUGUGGAUAUUCUAUUUUUAGGUUCUGGCAGGCUUGGGAUUAUUUUUUUCAUUGAAAUCGUAACAGGUGUGUACCCCUUAUGCAUGAAAAAUGAGUUUCAGUAAAAGCGAAAAGUGUGGACUAUUGACGCUACAUCGGUG
RNAcentral lists this long non-coding RNA (626 nucleotides) under Gossypium raimondii (Peruvian cotton). RNAcentral's name for it is "long non-coding RNA (GRAI_LNC011261)". The record is from RNAcentral. Lineage: Eukaryota; Viridiplantae; Streptophyta; Magnoliopsida; Malvales; Malvaceae.